Long non-coding RNA from Astyanax mexicanus (Mexican tetra), 175 nucleotides. RefSeq lists it as uncharacterized. The record is from RefSeq and is a predicted model, not a curated record. Lineage: Eukaryota; Metazoa; Chordata; Actinopteri; Characiformes; Acestrorhamphidae. The transcript is spliced from 2 exons.
GGAGAAGCUCCGUGGCAGCUGCUUGGAGAACACAGCUCCUACAGUCAUUUGUCUGAUGUUUGCAGACUCUGGGGAAACCACUCCACAUCAUGCUUUGGAAGCUGCUUUGCCUCCUAAAUGGGUACAAACGAAGUUUAAAACAUUUUGUUGCCAAUAAAUGACAGUAUCUAUUUUA